UAAGGAAUAUUGGUCAAUGGGCGGAAGCCUGAACCAGCCAUGCCGCGUGCAGGAAGACGGCCCUACGGGUUGUAAACUGCUUUUGUACCGGAAUAAACCCCCGAUCGUGAUCGGGGCUGAAUGUACGGUAAGAAUAAGGAUCGGCUAACUCCGUGCCAGCAGCCGCGGUAAUACGGAGGAUCCAAGCGUUAUCCGGAUUUAUUGGGUUUAAAGGGUGCGUAGGCGGCCUGUUAAGUCAGGGGUGAAAGACGGUAGCUCAACUAUCGCAGUGCCCUUGAUACUGAUGGGCUUGAAUGUACUAGAGGUAGGCGGAAUGUGACAAGUAGCGGUGAAAUGCAUAGAUAUGUCACAGAACACCAAUUGCGAAGGCAGCUUACUAUGGUAUGAUUGACGCUGAGGCACGAAAGCGUGGGGAUCAAACA
This 422-nucleotide ribosomal RNA is filed under the name uncultured Sphingobacteriaceae bacterium. RNAcentral describes it as "partial 16S ribosomal RNA". It matches the Rfam family "Bacterial small subunit ribosomal RNA", at positions 355 to 774 of the family's 1533-position model. The record is from RNAcentral. RNAcentral also lists the same sequence under 1 other name. Lineage: Bacteria; Pseudomonadati; Bacteroidota; Sphingobacteriia; Sphingobacteriales; Sphingobacteriaceae.